RNAcentral lists this non-coding RNA (112 nucleotides) under human gut metagenome. RNAcentral's name for it is "THF riboswitch". It matches the Rfam family "THF (Tetrahydrofolate) riboswitch aptamer". From Rfam's summary of the family: THF riboswitch presents a pseudoknot that joins P1-P2 and the loop of P3 and two THF binding. The record is from RNAcentral.
GCAGAGUAGAAGGACACGUGUGACGCCCGCAAGGGCCAGUGCCGGUGAGACGGGGAGUUGUUCGCCGGACGAAAGGAGUCGCUUCCGCAGUGUGUCCUUCGCAUCCCGCUGC